CAGCCGCCGCGGUAAUACAGAGGGUGCAAGCGUUAAUCGGAAUUACUGGGCGUAAAGCGCGCGUAGGUGGUUUGUUAAGUUGGAUGUGAAAGCCCCGGGCUCAACCUGGGAACUGCAUCCAAAACUGGCAAGCUAGAGUACGGUAGAGGGUGGUGGAAUUUCCUGUGUAGCGGUGAAAUGCGUAGAUAUAGGAAGGAACACCAGUGGCGAAGGCGACCACCUGGACUGAUACUGACACUGAGGUGCGAAAGCGUGGGGAGCAAACAGGAUUAGAGACCCCAGUAGUCCCUGUCUCUUAUAC
Molecule: ribosomal RNA, 301 nt
Filed under: uncultured bacterium
Lineage: Bacteria
Description: partial 16S ribosomal RNA
Rfam family: Bacterial small subunit ribosomal RNA
Source: RNAcentral